RNAcentral lists this ribosomal RNA (433 nucleotides) under uncultured bacterium. RNAcentral describes it as "partial 16S ribosomal RNA". It matches the Rfam family "Bacterial small subunit ribosomal RNA", at positions 29 to 507 of the family's 1533-position model. The record is from RNAcentral.
AACGAACGCUGGCGGCAUGCCUAACACAUGCAAGUCGAACGAGACCUUCGGGUCUAGUGGCGCACGGGUGCGUACCGCGUGGGAACCUGCCCUUAGGUUCGGAAUAACUCCCCGAAAGGGGUGCUAAUGCCGGAUAAUGUCUUCGGACCAAAGAUUUAUCGCCUUUGGAUGGGCCCGCGUUGGAUUAGCUAGUUGGUAGGGUAAAAGCCUACCAAGGCGACGAUCCAUAGCUGGUCUGAGAGGAUGAUCAGCCACACUGGGACUGAGACACGGCCCAGACUCCUACGGGAGGCAGCAGUGGGGAAUAUUGGACAAUGGGCGAAAGCCUGAUCCAGCAAUGCCGCGUGAGUGAUGAAGGCCUUAGGGUUGUAAAGCUCUUUUACCCGGGAUGAUAAUGACAGUACCGGGAGAAUAAGCUCCGGCUAACUCCGUG